RNAcentral lists this ribosomal RNA (468 nucleotides) under uncultured bacterium. Its description in RNAcentral is "partial 16S ribosomal RNA". It matches the Rfam family "Bacterial small subunit ribosomal RNA", at positions 29 to 507 of the family's 1533-position model. The record is from RNAcentral.
UACGAACGCUAGCGGCGUGCUUAACACAUGCAAGUCGAACGGAAAGGCCCUGCUUUUGUGGGGUGCUCGAGUGGCGAACGGGUGAGUAACACGUGAGUAACCUGCCCUUGACUUUGGGAUAACUUCAGGAAACUGGGGCUAAUACCGGAUAGGAGCUCCUGCUGCAUGGUGGGGGUUGGAAAGUUUCGGCGGUUGGGGAUGGACUCGCGGCUUAUCAGCUUGUUGGUGGGGUAGUGGCUUACCAAGGCUUUGACGGGUAGCCGGCCUGAGAGGGUGACCGGCCACAUUGGGACUGAGAUACGGCCCAGUCUCCUACGGGAGGCAGCAGUGGGGAAUAUUGCACAAUGGGCGGAAGCCUGAUGCAGCAACGCCGCGUGCGGGAUGACGGCCUUCGGGUUGUAAACCGCUUUCGCCUGUGACGAAGCGUGAGUGACGGUAAUGGGUAAAGAAGCACCGGCUAACUACGUG